CAGGGAAUCUUGCGCAAUGGGCGAAAGCCUGACGCAGCGACACCGCGUGGGGGAAGAAGGCCUUCGGGUCGUAAACCCCUUUUCUCAGGGAAGAGCAAGGACGGUACUUGAGGAAUAAGGUUCGGCUAACUACGUGCCAGCAGCCGCGGUAAUACGUAGGAACCGAGCGUUGUCCGGAAUUAUUGGGCGUAAAGGGCGCGUAGGCGGCCCGUUAAGUCUCAUGUGAAAUCUCCCGGCUCAACUGGGAGGGGUCAUGGGAAACUGGCAGGCUCGAGGGCAGUAGAGGAAAGUGGAAUUCCCGGAGUAGUGGUGAUAUGCGUAGAUACCGGGAGGAACACCAGUGGCGAAGGCGGCUUUCUGGGCUGCUCCUGACGCUGAGGCGCGAAAGCAUGGGUAGCAAACCGG
RNAcentral lists this ribosomal RNA (405 nucleotides) under uncultured bacterium. RNAcentral describes it as "bacterial SSU rRNA". It matches the Rfam family "Bacterial small subunit ribosomal RNA", at positions 355 to 776 of the family's 1533-position model. The record is from RNAcentral.